This 11343-nucleotide long non-coding RNA is filed under the name Homo sapiens (human). Its description in RNAcentral is "HSALNT0289925". The record is from RNAcentral. Lineage: Eukaryota; Metazoa; Chordata; Mammalia; Primates; Hominidae.
ACUCUUUGAGUUGCUGCUUUCUGCUGCAGUUGGCCACAGCCUGCAACACCAAGGUAAGCUGGGGGCUCCUUGCCCUUUUGGUGUAGACAAAAUGAACCUGAAGCCCUAGCUGUGUUCACAAGGAAUCUCAACACCUCUCCAUGCUUUUCACAUCCCAAGAGGCUGCAUCUUCUUGGACCUGGGAGCCACAAAAGGCUUGAUCCCUGAGUCACUCUGCAGAGGAGAGCUGCCUGCCUCUGUGCAGCUCCUGGUCUCCAACAUGUAUCUGUGGGUGCUCUUUCCUCUCUACUCCUCAUCAGUGUGCAUGGAAGAGCAGCAUCCCCCGCCAGUGUCCUCACAGGAAGUAGGCACACGAUGGCUGCAUGAGCAGAACGCUUCGGUUUAUGGGGAGUUGUACCCAUACUAUGGAAACCAUGACCAUGCUUUUCUCCACAAUGAAAACACCACUUCAUCUUCACAGCUUAUAGCCUUAAUUAUUAAGCCACACUGAAUUACAAUCAGAAGGAUCUCAUAAAAGCUGGUCCAUGUGCUAUCGCCAGUCAGCUCACUCAGCCUUUUCUCUGCAGCAUAUGAACUGGCUUAGAAAUAUUUCUUGAGUGAGAAGUUUUUUUUUUAUUGCUUUAAAGACAACAGAGGUUUACUGUUAUGUAACUGUGGAGGCCAGAAGCCUAAAAUCAGUAUUACUGGGCAGAAAUCAAAGUGUCCACAGGGCCACACUCUCUCUGAAGACAUUGGGGGAGAAUUUUUUUGCUUAUCUUUUCCAACUUCUGGUGGCUGCUGACAUUCCUUUGAGCAAGAGCUUUGAGCAAGUUUCUUGGAAACGUUGUCUGCGACAGAACUUUGCUUCACCAUCUUCUGAAUGCUUAUAUUCAGCUCCAUGGGUUAGAAUUAUAAAGAAGAAGAAGGAGGAGGAGGAAAAGGAGGAGAAGGAAGAGGAAGAAGAAAGAGGCUGGGCACGGUGGCUCACGCCUGUAAACCCAGCACUUUGGGAGGCCGAGGCAGGCGGAUCAUGAGGUCAGGAGAUCGAGACGAUCCUGACUAACACGGUGAAACCCCGUCUCUACUAAAAAUACAAAAACAAAAUUAGCUGGGCGUGGUGGCGGGCUCCUGUAGUCCCAGCUACUCGGGAGGCUGAGGUGGGAGAAUGGUGUGAACUCAGGAGGCAGAGCUUGCAGUGAGCUGAGAUCAUGCCACUGCACUCCAGCCUGGGUGACAGAGCAAGACUCCAUCUCAAAAAAGGAAGAAAGGAAGGAAGGAAGGAAGGAAGGAAGGAAGGGAGUGAGUGAAGAAGAAGGAGAAGGGGAAGAGGAAGAGGAAGAAGAAAUAAGAAAGGAAGAAGAAGGAGAAGGAGGAGGAGGAAAAAGAGGAGGAGGAGAAGGAGAGGAGGAAGAGGAGGAGGAAGAAGAGGAGAAGCAGCAUCAGCAUGCCAAGCCCUCCCAGGAACACUCCCGGAGAAGCGCCCCGGCUACUGUCCUGAGCUGAGCCACGGGAAAUGCUGUGGUCCCUGCUGAGAAGCAGCUGGUCUGACUCAGAAGAGCACAGGCUGUCCUCACGGCAGUCCGGACCCUAUCUAUCAUAGAGGGCGGAAGCCGGAGGGAUGGCGGCCAGGGUCCCCUUGGGGCCAGACGCUCUGUGCCAGCGCUGAGAUGACUCAGGCACUUGGUGGCUGUUAUGGGCUUCCUUGGCCCCUGUCUAUCCUCCUCCCUGGCCUGGACAGAGGACACUAAGCCUGACUCCUGCCCACUCUGCCCUUUCUUCUCUGGCUGCAAACAGACCCAGCUGGUCACUGGGCCCCACUCCCACCUGCAUAGAUUUAUUCUCUCAUCGUUCUGGAGGCGAAGGCUGGAAGUCCAAGUUCGAGGUGUUGACUGCCCUCCCACUGAAGGUCUGUAGAAGAAUCCUACCUGGGCUCUUCUGGUUUCUGGCUCCCCGGGGCUCCACCUCAGCAACCCGGCUCCCAUUGCCUUCACGACGGCCCCAAGCCAGCCUUCAAGGUCACCGCUCGCAAAGGAGGAGGGUGCAACGCAGCACAACCGCCCGAGUUCCAGCAGCAUGAAGUUCCACUUUAUUUCUGUCCAUGGAACCAGCAGAGCCUGUGAGCCCACAGCAGAGUCACCCGCAUCACGUCCCCAACACACUGGGAGCCAGGACCAACAAGGAGUCGCUAAAUCAGGGUUGCUCUGCUCAGCGCCACUGACGUUUGGGGCCAAAAACCUCUUCAUUGUCCUGGACAUUGCAGGCUGUUCAGCAGCUCCCCUGGCCCUACUUACAAGAUGCAAAAGAAAGUUGUGCCAUGAUGCUUUUGUUCAACAAAGGAAACUGAGGCCCAGGAAGGGGCCAGACCUAUGGAAGUUCACACUCCGCACUGUCUUCUCAACCCCCUGCCUCUGCAGCCCAGCACCUUCACCACCCCGCAUCCAUCCUAAUCCCUGUCCUUGAAGAUCCGCCCUCGAAGCAGACACUGUGAUGGUGAAAGCAAACCAGCCCCGAGUGUGGCUGAGACCCCAGAAGGGAGGAGGGUGCCUUCCUCUCAGGACACAGGAUAGCGUGUCUCCCACCACCCUAGGGGAGCCCCAGGAUUCUCCCACAUUCUUGGUCUUGGUGGGGUGUGAUCCUGUGAUGGUUAAUUUAUGUGUUAGCUUGGCUAAGCCAUGGUACCCAAACAUUUGGUUAAACAGUAGUCUCAACGUUGCUAUGAAAGGACUCUUCAGAUGUGAUUAACUUCUUUUGUUUCUGGAGAUAGGGUUUUGCCACAUUGCCCAGGCUGGUCUUGAACUCCUGGACUCAGGCAAUCUGCCUGCCUCAGCUUCCCAAAGCGCUGGAAUUAUGUGCCACUGUACCUGGCCAAGAUGUGAUUAACAUUUAAACCAGCAGACUCUGGAGUGUGAGUGGGCCUUGUCCAAUCAGGUGAUGGUAAAGAUGGAGGCUCCCGCAAAGAGGAGGCGUUCUCCCUGCAGUCUCAUCAAUUCAUCCCUGGGUCUCCAGCCUGCUGAGUACCACUUUUUGGACUUGCCAGCCCCACAAUUACAUGAGCCAAUUCCUUGUAAUCUCUCUAGCACUCUCCCUCUCUUUCUCCAUAUCUAUAUCCAAUUGGUUCAUCUCCAGAGAAGCCUGACUCAUACAGCUUCCAUCUCAGGCAAGACAACAAGAAGGAGACUCCUCCUCUGGGGCCUGGGGGAGAGCUAGCACACAGGCAGGCUGACCCUGAGCCCCUGCCACCCAUUUCCUCACUGGGCAGCUAGGUCCACUCUGUGAUGUGGGCCAGGCAAGGCCCCCGCGGGCUCUCUGGCUCUGCCCUGGGGAGGUCAGCUCGGUCUCAAGGGACUUGCUGGCGAACACACACAGACUGCUCAUCUCCCACAUUUCCAGUUUCCUUGCAGGGAUGCAGCCCUUGAAAUACAUUUUCCUGAGUUAAGAAAGAGAGAAAUAAAAGGGGGCAAGCCAGCUUCAACUUCACUUGGCAUUGCCCACCCAGAGCCCAGGGACUGGCACUAACGGACAACGGGGAUGGGUCUGUGUCCCCGAUGGGCAGCAUCUGUCUCCACUCAGAUCAAAGCUGCAAGCAUCUCGGGACAGCUCCAGGCUGAGUGGGGAGAGGCAGGAGCAGAUGGGUGCCAAGCGUGGUCCCCGCCCUGCACAGGUCGCCCCGUGCCCCCGUCUGCCCAUGCAGCUUACUUCUCCCAGUCUCUGUCUGUGCCAGAACUCUCCUGAUGGCUUCCGGGCUGCCCGGGGCUAGGCAUGACCCUUGUCCACGCAUUUUCUCUCAUCAGUCUUCCUGACUGCAGGUCAGGGUGAAAUUCUGCCACCCUCACUCUCACUCCAUCCCCUGCCUCCCUCGACCCCCUGCUCCCAGGCUGCAAGGGUUGCUAGGAGGACCCCGGCCAUGUCUACAGUGGCCCUCCCCAGCCUUCUAAAGCUGGAGUCCAGCCAAGGCCAGGAAAGAGAGUGUCUGUCAUCUUGGGGGGCUCUGCUCACAGGCUCCAGAUGACGCCUGAGUCCACCAUCCUCUGCCUCCCUCGCCCCCAGCAGACAUCAGCUGGAUAUCCUCAGUGGCAGGCAGGGAGGCCAUGGCCAAGAUAACAGAGUCAGAGAGCUAGCCUCAGAGAGCUCAGCCCUGGGAGCGAGAUCCUUCUGUACUAGAACGUGCACAGGUUCAGUGCAUAAUUCCUCAACCCACAAUUUGCUCUCUGCCCUUGCACUGUCCACAAGGGCAGGGCAGGGGCAGCAGCUUCUAUCUCAGUCAGAUCCCUAUUAGUCAUGGGCCGUCAUCCUCUGCAUGUCCACCACGUGCCUUACAGAGAACCGGAGGCCCAGUCCCAACCUCGCCCAUCCAGCUGAUGUCUGCUGGCCCCAUGCACUGAGCGUGCAAGCUGCCCCGAUCCAGUCCCUGACUCAAUGGGGCUUACCUCAAGUGAGGGAGAUGGCACUUGUCCACUACACAGAUAGGUCAGGCCCUAAGUGCUCAUGAAGGGAACUGGUGGGGAGGUGAUGGAGAAUGACCGUGGAGGGGGAGGAGGGAGGUGCCACUUCCAGAGAGAGCUCAGGGAGCCUUCUGAGCAGGUGAUGAUAAGCUCAGCCUGGGGAGGAAGAGCUGGCCACAGACAGAGCCAAGGAGAGAGCCACAGCCAGAGCCAUGAACAGAGGAGAGAGCCCCAGGAAAGUUCUGAGGCAGGGGAGCACGGGGCAUACUAAAAGACAGACACCAGGCACAGGGUAUGGGGAAGAAGGCGCAGCUGGGCUCACACCAGGUGAGGUGACCAGCUGGGAUUUCACCUGCCAAGCAACAAGAAGCCAGGAAGGACACUAGGCAGAGACGGGGCUUCUGGAUCCACUGUCAGUGACCACAUAGGAGAUUCCUGCAAGGAGUGGGGGUUGGUGCUGGAGAGAAGAGGCUGGACUCACUCAUUCAGCCAACACAGGCGCAUGGUCAGGAGGCAACACUGGGGCCACAGGGACAGGACAGGGAACAAGCAGACCCCACCCUCUAGACCUAACCUGUAGACCACAGACAUAGUGUGAAGGUCACAGAGAGGGGGCUUGAUGUGUUGGGGAGAGACAGAGAGGACCUGAGGGCGUGUCCUAGCGUGUGGGCGCCAGCAGAGGAGUAGGAUGUGGUGCCAUUUACAGAGACUGGAAGGCCGGGGGCGGGACAGAUUGAAGGGACCAAAAGCAGGUUGAGUCUUGCGGAGUCUGGGGUUCCUAUGAGACGCCCAGUGGAGGGGCCAGGCAGGCACCUCCGCCCAGGAAUCAGGCUCUCCAAGGAGAGGUGUCUGUCGCAUCAAGGACAAGGAAUCCCGGUGGGAAUCCUCAGCACCAAGACCUGGGUAAAGCACUGAGAUGAAGCGAUCAGGGCUGGAAAACCAGGAAACCAGGAAACCAGGACUUUCACAGCAAGUCAUUUAGAAAACAUAGACUCACUCACAGAUGGACUGCGAUGCACGAGGGCUGAGCCCUGAGAGGAAGAGAUCAGGGCUGGAAAACCAGGAAACCAGGACUUUCACAAGCAAAUCAUUUAGAAAACAUAGACUCACUCACGGAUGGACUGCGAUGCACGAGGGCUGAGUAGAUCUAGGCUGAGCGAGCAAGGGGAGGAGUGGGAGUGUGAGAUGGGGCGGGAGAGGAACGGGAAGGAGGGCGUGUGAACAGAAGGCUCACGAUGGGCGCCAGGAGCUCAAGGAGGCAGCUGGGAGGGGCAUGGGCGAUGGGCAGCGGGGGUGAUGAGGCCGGUUUGUGGGAGGAACCGCACUGUGAGGAGGGGAGAGGAUCCUUCCAGAAACCCUCCCAGAGAGGCUUGCCAGGUGGACAGUGGUGGGCAAAUGUUCGUGAGAAGCACGGAUGUACUGUAGCAGGGAAGAAUGGGAGCACUCCAGGACACAGCAGGAUGGCGGCCACGUGCUGGCCGCACCCGUGACUCGCACACAAGGGCAUGGUGCCAUCUGCCCAAUCCUGCCCUUGGCCUGACAUCCAAUGGGGAAUGUGGACGUGGAUGUGCCCCGGUCUUCUCAGCUCAAGGAGUCGCCACGAAUCCACUGGAACAGACGCUGUUGGCCAUCCCUGAAACAUGCGGGUGUCAUGCUCCGGCUCCUGCUGACUCAGGGCAAACCUGAUCCUAGCCAGAGGUGGAGCAUGCAGCCAGGAAGAACAUGGACACGGUAUGUUCACACACACGGCGCUCGGCCCACCACUCGCCCACGAACAUUUUUCACGCCACUCAGCCAAAGGCAAAUGCCUGCCCUACGCAAGACCAGCUCAGAAAUCCAUGACUUCCAAAGUUGGCUCUGUGAUUAUCAGUGCGUGCCAAGGAGCCUGUGUCUCCCUGAGAUCUGAAACCUUGGCAGGAAGCUGAGAUGAGAGAUUGUUGCAGGGAUGGUGAAGAACUGGUAUCCUUUGCAAGAAAAAUACUAACUGGUGGCUCCGCCGUGCUUCAUUUCUGGCAGAGCCCUGACUUGGAUGCACUCUGACUGUCGAACAAUAGCCCUAAAUGAUAGAAGGUUCUGAAGUCUCACCCGUGUGGCAGGGGCACAUUUGAUCCAGGUUCCCAUGGCUGCACGUGGCUCCAGCAUGAUCAGCCACGUUUCACCUGCACAUUCUUUCUCUGAUGGCCGGCACCCGGCUGCCUCCAAUGCUCUCCCACGUACGUUCUCCACACGGAACAGCCUCAAACCCGUGGACCGCGGCAGAUCCCAUGGAAUGCCUCUGGGUUGUAUACUCAGCAGCGUAACCUCUGGAUCAUAGCAUCAGGAGCCCCAGAUCCUUCUGGAAAGGCUGAAGCAUCCACACUCCAUCAGCCACCAUGAACUUGCCUGCAGAACCCAUCCAGGCCAACAUUUGGCUUAACCAGCUUUUUAACUGUUUGCCAGUCCAACAGCUGGACUGUUUGCCAGUCCAACAGCUGGAAAGUGGCAUUGUGUUCUAGUUCUCAUGUGUGUGAUUACUAAUGACCUUGAGCUUCUCUUUAUAUGCAUACUAGCUUUGGGGUUUUUCUUUCUGUCAUCUGUCCGUAUCCCUUGCCCAUUCUUCUGCUGCGGUUGCUCUCCUUGUCUUUUUGAUUGGCUGGAGUCCCUUGUUAAUCCCUCAUCAACUAUUAACAUUGCAAAUAUCUUUUCUCAUUUGUUCAGCUGUGCAUUAACUUUGUCCAUCUUGUCUUUCAUUUAACAAAAAUCUCUAACUCUGACAUAAUGAAAUGUGUCAAUGUGUUACCCUAUGGUUUGUGCUUUCAGAUUUUUAUUUAAGACAUUCCUGCUUAUAAGUAACAAAGAUUUUUCUCCUGUAUAUUCUUUUAACUUUUUCUUUUGCUACUAGGACUUUAAUUUAACUAGAAUCCAGCUGUGUAUAUGGUGUUAGGUAGAAUUCACGGUUUUUAAAAAAAAUGUUUUAUCACAGAUUAGUACUGCUAUGGUUUGAAUGAUUAUCCACUUCAAAACUCAUAUUGAAAUUCAGGCUGGGCGCAGUGGCUCACACCUGUAAUCCCAGCACUUUGGGAGGCUGAGGUGGGCGGAUCACCUGAGGUCAGGAGUUUGAGACCAACCUGGCCAACAUGGAGAAACCCUGUCUCUACUAAAAAUACAAAAAUGAGCCGGGCAUGGUGGCAUAUGCCUGUAGUCCCAGCUACUCGGGAGGCUGAGGCAGGAAAAUCACUUGAACCUGGAAGGCGGAGGUUGCAGUGAGCCAAGACCAUGCCACUGCACUCCAGCCUGGGCAACAGAGCAAGAUUCUGUCAAAAAAAGAAAAAAAAAAAGGGAAGGAAGGAAGAAAUUUAAUUGUCAUGGACACAGUAUUAAGACGUAGGACCAGGUUAGGCAUUGUGGCUCACACCUGUAAUCUUAGCACUUUGGGAAAACCAAGUUGGGCAGAUCACCUGAGCUCAAGAGUUUGAGACCAGCCUGGGCAACACAGUGAAACCCCAUCUUCACCAAAACAAUAAAAAAUUAGCUGGGUGUGGUAGAGCACACCUGUGGUCCCGGCUACUCCAGAAGCUGAGAUGGAAGGAUCACUUGAACCCAGGAGGCAGAGGUUGCAGUGAUCUAAGAUUGUGCCACUGCACUCCAGCCUGGGUGACAGAGAGAGACCCCAUCUUUAAAAAAAAAAAAAAAAAAAGGUCUGGGACCUUUGGAGGUGAUUAGGCAAUGAGUGCUCAUCCCUCUUGAGUGGGAUUCGUGUUUUUAUAAAAGGACAAGUUCAUCCCCUUCUUGCCCUCCUGCCUUCUGCCAUGGGACAAUGCAGCAAGAAGGCCCUCACCAGAUGUCAGCACCUUGACCUUAGACUUUCCAGCGUCCAGAACUGUGAGAAAAUACAUUUCUGUUUGUCAUAAAUUACCUAAUCUCAAGUAUUCUGUUGUAGAGCACAAAACAGAUGAAGAUUGAUACUGAGAUUUAUCAAAUGCUUUUUCUGCAUUGAUUGAGAUAAAAUAUAUUUCUUUAAUCUAUUACAAUAGUGAAUUAUAUUGAGAGAUUGUUAGAUAUUCCUGGAUGAACUCUACUUCAUCACUUAUUUUUCUUAAUAUUCUUUUAACUAAUUUUAAAAAAAAUUAACUAAUAUUUUACUUAGGAUUUUUAAAACUCCAUUUAUAAAUAAAUGGGUCUAUAUAUUUUUUAAUUCCUGUUGUCCCUAUUUGAUUUUGAAAUCCAGAUUACAUGAGCCUCACAAAAUGAGCCAGACAGUUUCCAUUCAUUUUCUAAUUUUCCAAAUAUCUUGUAUAAAAUAGAAAUUAACCAUUCCUAGAAAAUAUUAUAGAAAUCUCCGAAAACAAUUAUCCAGACUUGGAUUUUUUUGGUGCCUUUGACUGCCAUUUAACUUCUUUCACAUGCAUUCAUCUAUUCAAGUUAUCUGUCUUGUCUUUCACAAGUUUGGCAUUUUAUGCUUUUUAUAAGAAUUUGUCCGGCCAGGCACGGUAGCUCACACCUGUAAUCCCAGCACUUUGGGAGGCCAAGGUGGGCAGAUCACCUGAGGCUGGGAGUUCGAGACCAGCCUGAUCAACAUGGAGAAACCCUGUCUCUACUAAAAAUACAAAAUUAGCUGGGCAUGGUGGUGCAUGCCUGUAAUCCCAGCUACUCAGGAGGCUGAGGCAGGAGAAUCACUUGAACCCGGAAGGCGGAGGUUGCGGUGAGCAGAGAUUGUGCCAUUUUGCACUCCAGCCUGGGUAACAGGAGUGAAACUCUGCCUCAAAAAAAAAAAAAAAAAGGAAUUCAUCCAUGUCAUCUAAGUAUCAAAUUUGUUAAAUAUGCCUAUGCAUAAUACCAAUUAAUUAUCUUAUUUAUUCCCCCUCUUGCCCUCCUGCCUUCUGCCAUGGGAUAAUGCAGCAAGAAGGCCCUCACCAGAUCCCAUUUUUAUUGGUCUUUCCAGAAGUCUGUCUAGCAUAUUAAAUUUUUUAAACCAGAUUUUGAUUUUGUUCAUCCUCUGUAGGUUUUAUUCAUUCUAUCUGUUUCUACUCUUAUAUUUUUCAGCUCCUUUCUUAUGUUUUCUGGGAGUGGAGUUGGAUAGGUGUUGCUCUCUUGCUCUUUUUCCAGCUGCUUGUGCUAAAUAGCUGGCUCAUUUGUUUUUCCCAUUUGUUGUUUCCUGAUGAACGCAUUAUAAUCUUUCAAUAUCCCUUUAAGAGCUACCUUGGCUUUGCCCGAAGGCAUGUCACUGAUUUGGGCAGGUCACAUUGCGUAUACAUAGAGGAAGUGCUCACAUAAGUAGAGUACUCACUCUAUGCACUUCUUUUUUUUUUUUUUUUUUUUUUUUUGAGACGGAGUCUGGCUCUGUUGCCCAAGCUGGAAUGCAGUGGCGCGAUCUCGGCUCACUGCAACCUCCACCUCCUGGGUUCACGCCAUUCUCCUGCCUCAGUCUCCUGAGUAGCUGGGACUACAGGUGCCCACCACCACGCCCAGUUAAUUUUUUUGUAUUUUUAGUAGAGACGGGGUUUCACCGUGUUACACUCUAUGUACUUCCUAAUUUCCUUGAUCAUUUCCAAGGGCUAUCCAUAAAUAUAUUAAUUACUUUCCAAAAUAUUGGAGUUGUUAAAAAAAAUUGUUUUGUUAAUUUUAAUGUCAUUGAUUUGUGAUUAGAGAAUGCAGUUUAUUUUGUAUUAAUUAUUAGAACUUUAUUGAGACUUCCUUCAUGGCUCAGUGUCUGGCCUAUUUUGGUAAAUGGUGUGUGCGUGCAUGGGGGAAAGGCAUAGCCUCUGUCUGAUGAAUGGUAAGUUCUCUACAUAUCUCAUAUCUUCAGCUUACUCAUUGUAUUGAUCAAGACUUCAGUAUCUGUUUUCUCUGUUCGAUCAUUAAAAGCUCCAACUACAAUUGUUGAUGUAUGUUUUUCUCCCUGGAUUUGUAAGUAUUGCUUGAUAUUUUUAGAGGCUGUUCAAUUAGAUUGACCCUUGAACAGCACUGGGGUUAGGAGCUCUGCCCCCAUAAAGUGUAUUGCUUUACACUUUUGACUCCCCCAAAACUUAAUUACUAACAGCCUACUGUUGACCGGAAGCCUUACCAAUACCAUAAACAGUCAGUUAACACAAAUUUUAUCUGUUUUAUAAGUAUAUACUAUAUUCUUACAAUAAAGUAAGCUAGAGAAAAGAAAAUGUUAUUAAGAAAAUCAUAAGGAAAAAUAUUCACUGAUCAUUAAGCAGAAGUGGAUCAUCUUAAGAUCUUUUUUGGGUUGUUUUGUUUUGUUUCUUGAGACUGGGUUUUCUUUGAGACCGCACUCCCAGGCUGGAGUGCAGUGGCGCAAUCAGGGCUCACUGCAGCCUCAAUCUCCCUGGGCUCAGGUCCUCCCACCUCAGCCUCCCGAGUAACUGGGACUACAGGCACACGCCCUGCUAGUUUUUUGUAGAGAUAGGGUUUCACUACAUUGCUCAAGCUGGUCUCAAACUCUUGGGCUCAAGCCAUCCAUCCACCUUGGCCUCCCAAAGUGCUAAGAUUACGGGUGUUGAGACACCAAAACUGAACCCAGCCAUAAAGAUCUUCAUCGUUGUCGUCUUCACAUUGAGGAACCUGAGGAGGAGGAAAAGGAAGAGGAGGGGUUGGUCUUGCUGUCUCAGGGGUGGCAGAGGCAGAGGAAAAUCCACAUAUAAACGGACCCAGCCAGUACAAACCCACGCUGUUCAGGGGUCAACGGUAUGUGUACAUAAUGAAUUGAUCUUUAAUUAUUUAGAAUUAAUGGGUGUCUGUCCUUUUUUAAAAAAAAAAUCUUAAAUCUUGUUUUGUGCCUUUAUCUUGUCAAAAUUGUGAUAAUACCACUCGCUGUAUCAGAGAGUUAACUUGCAGAUUAAACAGGUUAUUCCAUGCAAUGCAUUUUAAACCAGGUCUAGAAUCCUGAAACCCUGCUCAGCGCUAACUUUGUUGUUUUUCCUUUUUUUCUUUUUUCUUU